Talpa occidentalis (Iberian mole) is the source of this 817-nucleotide long non-coding RNA. RefSeq lists it as uncharacterized. The transcript is spliced from 4 exons. The record is from RefSeq and is a predicted model, not a curated record. Lineage: Eukaryota; Metazoa; Chordata; Mammalia; Eulipotyphla; Talpidae.
CGGCGCUCGGCUCGCUGAGCUCGUCCGGGACGCAGAAAACCGGAGCUGGCCGGGUCCCGGUCCCUGUCCCGUCAACAUUAUCAGCAAGAAGAGAGAAUAUUGGCCCUCGGUUACCGCCAACCACAUGAUCUGAAGUGUAGGCACGGCAGCUUUUCUGAGAAAAAAAGUCACAAACAUGACCUCGCGAUUAUCCCCAACUAGCUAUGUGCCUGAGAGUGACCCGGGACAAGGGCUUCAUGCAGGGUUUACACGGUCUGGACGCCUGGGCGGCAAACUUUAACGCUUAUUAGGUGUCUUCGGUGGAUAGAGCCUGGGGGCCAGGGCAGGAGUGGGCAAGUGACACAAAGAAGUGGAAGGAUUCCCUUCCCUGGGGAACCACUGCUUGCAGCCCCGACUCGGCUGUGUGGAUGCGUAAGUGGAGGCCAGGAGGCUGCAGCUCAAGAUCCCCACCCGGGAAGCAGUCAGCUGAACCCGGUUUGCCUGUGCCCGGGCCAGACGGUGAAACUCCCUGUGGCCUCAGCACAAGGGGCACCACCAGCUAUUGCCCAGCCCUGCCCCGUGGCAACGCCGCUUCCUCACUCACUAGGCGGUGGAGAUUUCCACGAGGGAAAAGCCACCAAAUCAUCAGAUGACAUUUUUCAGAUUGAAUCAGAAAAGUCUGCAGAGGGGAAAAGCCCUGUGUGCUGGGUGUCACCUAGCCCAGCAGGAAGCGAUGGAUUCAGGGACCCCUGCUUGGCUGAAAAUAGAAUCGUAAAAAAUAAAGGGGGUGGGGGAGAAAGUGGACGGAAGUAAUCCUAUUAAACGUGGUCGGAGGUUU